Long non-coding RNA from Betta splendens (Siamese fighting fish), 2959 nucleotides. RefSeq lists it as uncharacterized. The record is from RefSeq and is a predicted model, not a curated record. Lineage: Eukaryota; Metazoa; Chordata; Actinopteri; Anabantiformes; Osphronemidae. The transcript is spliced from 3 exons.
GCUGAGUUGCUUUAAUUCCCAUUGCCCAUUUCAAAUACUUCACUACAUUUCUUUACGUUUGCUACAUUCAUUUGAUUUUCACUCCUUAAAAUAGUACUUAUACAAGUUACCGCAAGCCAUUAAAACUAUAAUAGUGACUUUCAAAAUAAAUUGGCGCCAGCUGUUUGACGGCUCCUGUAACAGUAACCAACGUUGAAAUAACAGCUGUGUCGAAGCGCGCGCCGCACAGAACAGAAGCGGUAAAUGAACAGCGUAAACAAGUAAAGAGUAAACGAACCGCACGCAGUCAGACGGAGGUUCACUGGGAACAAACCACGGGUAACUGUCGUUGCUGCCCACGAUCCAGCAGAGGAAGGCUCGUUUUCACUCUUUGCAGAACUUGGCGGACGUGAACCUGCAGGAUGCUCCAUGGACUCGGCCCCAAGGAGACGGCUCUGCCCAGCGUCUGGAUCACUCCUGAGUCUGGAAAAACUCUGCCAGAGAAGGAUUUCUUGUCGGAAAGAGGUCGAAGCGGUGGGCUGUUGUUUCUGGGCUUCCCAGGUGUCGGGGACACCUCCAAUCUACUCAUUGAUUGGAUCUCUGCAUCUGGAAUGUCUCUACAUUGACCUCCCAGUCCAUGUUUGCAAGAUGUUAGAGCCUUAAUUGAUGUCACCCACGUUUCUUCUCAUACAUUUUUUCAUAAUAUAGUCAUGUUGUUUCAACACAACCACUGUAUUUCAGCUUUCAGUUUCAAAUUGGUUUCUUUUUUUUCAAACCGACUAAACCCAUGUGCACAUGUGGCUCCAUGGUGCUAUGGUCUAUUUGAACAGCCGCUUCUAUUUAAGAUGUUAACUUCUUAUUGUAGUCUACAGCUGUGUAGUUUAAAUUAAAUACUUUUCAAAGUCACAAGGAGUUGCAGCAGAGAGACCAAAAAGCUGACCAGAGCUGCAGGUUGAUGACCCGUCUUUAGACCAGAGGACUGAGAGCUGACAACUGAACUGAGGGCAGAGAAUCACAGUUUGGUUCUGACAGUUUAGUGUCACUCAGUCUGAAAGACAUUCUAUACAAACAAGACAACCGUUAGUUUUUUAUUUGUUGCCCUUUUUAGAAUAAUGGUACGGAAACACACACACACACACACACACACACAUGGACACACACACACACAAAUCAAUGCAGUCUCACCAUUGACAUACAGUAAUGCUUUCCCCAGCCCCUUACUUAAAGCUUAACCAUCACAAAUAUUUAAUUAUAUAUAUUAUAUUAUUAUGUUAUGAAUAUAUUUAAUUCCUAAAGUAUUACACUUUUCACUCAUAUCACAAAACACAAGUGAAAUUGUUUAUUUUGUAUUUUAACUUCAAGACAACUAUGCAAAAGACAAAUUACAAAUCUAAUCGGUGCGGUGCCUGGGAGCUGGUGCUCUAAGUGUCUUACUCAAGACACACUUGGUGCGCUGGUGGUCUUUAAACCUGGGACCUCCCACUCCCCAGGCCAACGCUCUACCAACUGUGCCACCAAGUUUAUAAAAGAAUAGAAUAGAAUAGAAUAGAAUAGAAUAGAAUAGAAUAGAAUACCUUUAUUGUCCCGCAAUGGGGAAUUUACUAUGUACAACAGCACAAAGACAUAUAGACAUAUAUACAGAAGAAAUGAAUAAAGCAUAAUAAUAAUAAUAAUAAUAAUAACACAAUAAUUAUAAGAAUUUAGAAAUUAGAACUUAGAACUCCACAGGUUAUCAACAUUAUGUAUACAAUGAGGUAAGGUGACUGCACCAAACAAAGUGAGUAAGAUAUUAAAGUGACUGGUGCAAUGUUUAAUGUUUAAUGUGUAAUGUAAUGUCAAUUCAUCUUAUAAUGUCAGAAAAACAUUUUCAUUUCUCUUUUAGUAGAGUAUUUACCUUCUUACUUUCAUUUAAUCUUCAUGCAUGUGUGCAGGAGUCUUGUCAGGAUGCGCCGUGUGCAUUAAGAGUUACGUGACCUGGAUCUCUUUAAUAGAAGCUAUAGAUGGCCAUUCAUUGGUCAAAGAGUCAAAACUUAAUCUCCAUUCUGACAAACACAUGUUUGGGCCGUACUUAUUGAUCCCUGUGGUCUGACCCAGUGACUGUCUGUCUUUCAUUCUAACGUUGAUAAAAUAAAAAAUGAUUAGAAAACUAGUACAAGCUGUUAAAACAAAACACUUGAAAACAACAUAGCUUGAAAUAGUUUCACUGAAAUGAAGUGUUGACAUUUGCUGAUACCUAGUGGCAAACAAAUAUAUUACAUGAUCCAUGGUUUCUCCAGUAGUCUUAGGGUUGCAGUCAAUUAUACAAAUUUCGUACAUAAGAACCGAUUUUUCUUUUUACCAAAAAGCCUUUUAUGUCACUGUAAGUGUGCUUUUGUUAUUCACAGUUUAAAUAAUUUAUAACUGUUAUAUAUUAACAAUGUGGCAUAGAUGUAGAUCUGCCUGUCCCAAGUGCCUGAAGGAACAAUACUAAUGGUCUCUUCUACCUGCUAGUGUCUGACUUUUUAAUCAGUGAUCAUUACUAGAGACUUCAUUUGUGUCUCUUUUUCCCCUGUGUGUGUUAUCCAUAUGAAUGCCAUGGUAUAGACUGAAAGCUGGCUGAGAAGGAAGGCUGGAGCCUGGUGUGGCUCUCCUAUCUUCAGUACAGUACUGUAUGUGCAUGUCAAAGGUCACCUACACUAGGUAGGCUGAAAAUGGAGGAGAAGGGCGAUUGGUCAUUUAGCAUUUUUCACUUAUCCAAAAGCAUGUGAUGGUGGAAAAUGGUCCCCUAAAAUUGAUUUUACGGGGCCUGCGUUGAGUCUGAAGAACUGUGUGUCGCCUCAUCUGUGUGCACUGGAGGGGCAGUGGGUGGGUCCUGGCAUGGUAUGAAUGUUUAAGAAGGGCAGUGGGGGGCUAGCUGUGUUCAGUGAGGGAGAGAUAAAGGCAAAGGAGGCAGGCUGAAGACUGGCAUGUCUGUGAAUGUGAAAUGUCAUAAAAAUAAACA